CCAAGGGCCAAGACAGCCCAAAGCUAUCUCUCCCAGAGCCUUCUCAAGCUGAAGGCUCAUAUUAAGCCUUUAGAACCCCAGCAGGAUUUCCACUUGCCUAAUGCCCUCUUGGACGCUAUGAAGAUUCUGGAUACAGGCUUCCCUGACUUCAAGUUGGGCUCUGUGGCCGAGAAGAGAGACGAUGCGUGUUAUUGUCGAACAGCAAUGAGAUGCAGUCUACCACCUUCUGUUGUCGUCUACACCUGCCUUCACAAGGGCAAAAGCAAGGCUGGCCUCAAGCUCCAUAUGUAGCCGGAGAUGACCUUGAGCUUCUGAUCUUCUUGCUUCUGCUGGAAUUACAAGCAUGGAUCACCACGCCCAGCUUGAGUGAGAAAUGAUGAUUGGUGUUUCAGCAGCCCUUUUGAGCCCCAAAGCUGCCUUGAGGAUGAAAGUCAGGCAUGGGGAUGGCCGAAGAAAAAGAGCAGACAGCAACCUUGUAUGUCAUCUCUUCUGCAUGAAAAAUAUACAAGACAGAUGGAAUUUCACUGUGCUACCCAGACUCAUUUUUAACUCACGGAUGGGCUCAGGUGGUCCCCCUGCUUCAUCCUUUCCAGUCCAGCGAGGACUGCAGGUGGACCUGGCUUUCUGGUCAAUUUCAAUGGGAUGCCAGACAGUGUAUAAAGCAGUGUUAUCAAAGGCAGGACCUGCCAGUCGUGUGUAGAUUUAAAAUUUACAGUGACACAGAAUUUAAACUUCAGGCCCCAUUUCCCCAAGAGAGCGCUGGGUGUUCAGCUCUAGUUCCCCAAGCCUGAGCUGCUGAGCACAAAAGGGCAGACGGCUCACAGGGCUCAUGCCAAGCUCAUUGAUUCCAUUUCCCUCCUCUCUGGGAUCUUGGCCUUUCCGGAACCUUCGGUCUUGGUAGCUCUCCAACGACUUUAAGUGGAUUUUAAAAGUUCACAUUUUACAUCAUUUUCUAGCUAUUGUUGGCAGUACGGUUGGUCUGAUGUGAUCUAGUUGGUCAUAGCUGGGAUCUGAAGUCACAUUUCUACUGCAGGCAGGUAGAGCAGAGGAAGUCCGGGGGAGUCGUCUAGGGAAAAGCAACUGGAGCUUGAAGGCAGGUCAGGGAGGGAGGGAAGACAGUAUGAAGACAUCUGGGUGAUUUAGGAAAAGAGACCUGGCUGGGUCAGCCUUGGGUGGGACAUGAGGUUUGUGUAUAUUGGGGGGAGGGUGCUCAAGACAGACUCCCAGGCCCUGGCUCUCAGCUGGCUUGGGCCAAAGGGUGGGGGCACCAUUUUAACAUUAUCUAAAGGAGUGGGGCUUGGGGAGAAGUCUUUCUGAUGGAAGUGGGUGCAGGUGCACCAAAUGCACCACGGACAGUGUCCUGGGCCAGUGGCAUUGUCUAUGCUAGCUGUGGCUUCUCAGUGGUCUAAUACGCGUGCUUCUGCUGUCGAGCAGCUGCGGUCCCCCUCCUCCCCCUCCCUCACCUUCUUUCCACCCUGUUCCUUUUCUGCUUGCUUCAGGACGAUUACGAGUGAACCUCUAGAACUCAUAAUAUCCAGUGUCUGAUCACAGAGUUUUUCUCCUCGUGGAUAAGAGUUAAUACAAAUCUAGCACAUAAACACAUCUCAUUUCUCAGAUACUUGUAGAACUGAUAGGAAAGGGCUGGAAGAGAGACAGGGAAGGUGGAACAGGGUGGCUCUUACAAGCAGCUGGUAGUAUUGUGUGUACCUAUGCUUCACUGAAGCCACGAGAAUAGCCGAUAUUUCCCUGAAAUUGUGAAACCCAAGAAAGAAAAGGAGCUUCUAGGUGUGCAUUUGUCCUAUCAUUUCUCCCAGCCUAGGUGUCAGGGUCCCUUUAGUGAUGCUGAGACAAUUCCAGGGCUCGGUAUGACCUCCUUCUAAUGUGCCGCUAUGCACGCUAAACAGAGGUUCGCUCACAUUUACUCUUCAGUUGGGGAGCAUCAGGGGCCCUGUCAGGUUUGAGUGACCCUCUCUCCUGGUGGUGGCUUGUCUAACCAAAGAGCAGGCUCUGCUCUCCACCUGGCUUAAAGGCUGCCUGGGGCAUAAACCAUCUAUCCAGGGGCAGGUGCCCUGAGCUGCAGGCCCAGAGGCACAGUCAGACUUAAGGAGUCACUGGGCCAAUGUGGCUCUUAAAGUCUACCAGAGGGUGGGAAGGGACCAGAACAUUGCCUAUAGAUCAGUUUCUGCUUUCCUGACCCAAGGCCUGACCAUGGAAGACCCUACUUACUGGCAUUUGACUUUUCUCUGGGCACAGUGAGGAGUCAGUCAGGAAGUUAAGUGACUUGAUUUAUUCUUUGGAAAUUUGGCUGUGGAUAAAAAUGGAUGGGACGGGAAGAGAUGGUGAAAACGGUUUGGAUCUGCUAUAUCAGGAAAGUUCAAGGGAACAUCGGCUCUUCUCUUCACUCAGUCGAGUUGGGGGCCAUGCAGAGGACAAAGACACAAGAGGAUGUGGGCAAGGUCGGGGCGACCUCUGGAUGCUCUCCUCUGGGUUAGACUCUCAGGUAUAACCACAGGAUUAGGGAACAAGAUAGUUCUGUUUGGGCCUGUGGUUUCAAGUGUCUGUGGAAGAUUUCAGAAGCUGUAUAGAGCCAGGCACCAGGCAGAGGUGGUACACACCUUUAAUCCCAGCCUUUAAUAAUCAGGAGGCAGAGGUAAGUGGAUCUCUGAGUUCAGGGCCAGCCUGGUCUACAGAGGGAGUUCCAGAACACCCAAGGCUACACAGAGAAACCCUGUCUUGAAAAAAUCAAAGGAAGAGGAGGAUGGAUUGACAGUUAAGGACUAAACGAGAGGUUUGGAUUUGGUCUUUGGUCAGAGUGGACUUCUCUGGUCCCCCAUGCUUCAUACUCCCUAAGGUGGGUGUGGUCUAUGUGUGGGUUGAUCCUUAGCUUUCACUUCUGUCCAUAUUUUCUCAAACUGUCUUUUAUUAGGCCUCUCCAGAAGGUCAUGCUCUGUGGCUGGCCCUGUCUGUGAUCCCCAGUCCUCCUGACAAUCCAUCCAGCUAUGCCUGUGGGGAGCUGGAGUUUGGACUGGGGUGUGCCUAUCUUUAAUUUUUAAAAAUGAUUAUUUUAUUAUUAUUAUUUAUUUUAUAAAUUAUUUGAGCAUUUCAUACAAUGUAUUUUGAUGGCAUUCAUUUCCCAUUCCUCACCCAACUUCUCCCACAUCCACUCCCACCUUCCAGGCUCCUCCCAACUUCAUGUCCACCUAUUUAUUUAUUUAUUUUCCCCAUGUCCUUUAAAAAAUCCUUUAAAGAUUUAUUAUUUUGUGUAUGAGCAUUUUGCCUGGAUGCAUGUUCAUGCACUGUGUGUGUGCCUGGGCCUGCUGAGGUCAGAAGAGGGCGUCAGGUUCCACUAGGACUACAGUUAACAGCUAACUGUGAGCCCACAUGUGGUGCCGGGAAUUGAACCCAGGUCCUCUGCAAGAGCAGCAAGUGCUUUUGAUGCCCGAGUCAUCUCUCCAGUUCCUCCUCCUUCUCCUCCUUCUUCUAUUUUUUAUUAAAUAACUCACCGAGUCCAAUUUGUGCUGACUAUCUCCUCAUGAAUGCGGAACUAUUCACAGGAAUGUGGUUAACCCACCAGGACCCACGUCCUUAAAGAAAACUGGCUCUCUCUCUCUCUCAGAAGCUAUCCAUUGCCCACAGCUCCUCAGUUAGGGUAGAGGCUCAUGACCUCCUGCUCCCUCCAUGAUAGACUGUUGACUGGCUUGAUCUUGUACAGCUCUUGUGCAGACAACCACAGCUGCUGUGAGCACAUGAGCUGCAUAAGUGCUGUGGUUCUGUCAUACACAGAAGACACACUUUGUCUCCAGGUCUCCCCAAACUCUGGCUCUUACAGUCUUUCCACCUCUUUUUUCCCCCAAUGGUCCCUGAGCCUUGAAGAGAAGUGUGUGUGUGUGUGUGUGUUGUAGUGGGUAGCCAUUCCAGCUUUGGUCUGGAAGUUCCAAUCCCCAUUGUGGCUUUGGUAACUAUCACGCCCACAAGGCGAGGCCAAGGGAGGGCCCUGAAGACCUGAGAUCGGGACGUGCUGUGCACUCUUGCUGCUGGGAGCCCGGAUGCUAGAGGUGGAUGGAAGAGAGUUCUCCAGAGAACAUCGCCGGACUACUGUUGUGUCUUUCCCAGAACCCUCAACCUACAUAUCCCUUCAUUUGUAAGUUACGCCAUUAAAUAAAUCUCCUUUUAACUACA
Long non-coding RNA from Peromyscus californicus insignis, 4179 nucleotides. RefSeq lists it as uncharacterized. The record is from RefSeq and is a predicted model, not a curated record. The transcript has 5 exons. Lineage: Eukaryota; Metazoa; Chordata; Mammalia; Rodentia; Cricetidae.